AUACGGAGGGUGCGAGCGUUGUUCGGAAUAACUGGGCGUAAAGGGCGCGCAGGCGGUUGGAUAAGUCAGAUGUGAAAUCCCUGGGCUCAACCCAGGAAGUGCAUUUGAAACUGUCCAUCUUGAGUACGGGAGAGGGAAGCGGAAUUCCGAGUGUAGAGGUGAAAUUCGUAGAUAUUAGGACGAACACCGGUGGCGAAGGCGGCUUCCUGGACCGAUACUGACGCUGAGGCGCGAAAGCGUGGGGAGCAAACAGGAUUAGAAACCCCAGUAGUCC
RNAcentral lists this ribosomal RNA (274 nucleotides) under uncultured bacterium. Its description in RNAcentral is "partial 16S ribosomal RNA". It matches the Rfam family "Bacterial small subunit ribosomal RNA", at positions 523 to 796 of the family's 1533-position model. The record is from RNAcentral.